AGCUUUAAAUUUUAAAUUAUUACAGUUAUAUCAUAAAAAAAAUAAAAAUAAAAAGACUCUCUUCUUCCCCCACCAAACCACUUCUUUUAGCAACCCCCAAUCGUUGCCCAACCUCUUCUUUUUUUUCCCACUCCAUAGUUAUCUUCUUUAACCCGAUUUUGGAAUUGGCACUUUGGUAACAUCAAGUUUCUUGGCGAUUAUCAGUGGCGUGAGAGGGAGAGACACGCUGGUCCGUUUUUUGCUAUAUUGGGAGCGAUGUUGGCCUGUUUUUCGACAGAAUGGGAGGCGGCGACCAAUGAAGGGGUUUGGGGUACGCCGAGAAAAUGGAGAUGGGAAAUUCCAGGUCGCAGUCUUCAAUCUUUCACAACAAUCGUCUUCUAAUCCCUUAAACUUGUCUUUUUCAACCAAUUUUGAUAACCCAAGAAAAUCUCAGGCGAAUGUAGGGUAGAUUUCGAUGAGUUUCACAGCAGAGGUUGGUGUGAAAUUGUCUUUGUAAGUAAUUUGGGGUGAGAAAAUAGUAGUCGGCGUUGGAUUACGAAAAAUUUGGUCAGAUCUGAUUGUUAGGUGACUUAGGUUGUUAUAACUAUGGAGGUUGGAGGAGGAAAAUAAAUAGUGAUGGUGUGCAGCUAGCUAGAGGAUGGUCGCACUCUUGCUGACUACAACAUUGAGCAAGAGUCGACAUUACAUUUGAGGCUUCAUGGAGGAAUUAUUGAGCUUCUUUGGUGGUUUUUGCUAGGAAGUACAAUCAGGAGAUUUGUUGCAAGUGCUAUGAAGUGUGAGCACAACAAUCAGUUGAGACCUAAGAAGAAGAUAAGCAGAUGGUGAAUUUGAAUUUGUGAACAUGUAGUUGCAAAUGUUGAGAUCCUUGAGAAACAAUUAGAUAUAUUAUUGGGUUGCUUGUUCAAUUUUAUUCUAAAAACAUUAAUCAAUUUGUGUUUUAUUUAUAUCAAAGAUUUUGAGCUAUUUUGAUUGGUAGAAAAAAAAAGGAAGAAAGUAUAUACGAUUUCGUCGGCAAAAAUGGCGCUGCCGCCGGCGAUGGCUUUCUAUUGGUCCUGAAACAGUGAAAAUAGUGUUGGGGUGGGAGGGUAGAAAUUUCUUUAGGGUUGCAAUUUAGAGAUUUUGAGAUUCUUUUAAUGCUCUUUAUUUUUUUUCUGGCUAAAAGCUCACCGGAGCUUUGACCUCCGACCGCCGGUCCACCACCCAAAAAACCUUACCCAAGCUCCAUAUUCCAUUUUGGCUCCAUAGCCACCGGAGAAACCAUCAGUUCUAAACAAUCCUAAGAAACCCAUCUACCUUGCUUUUCCUCCAUUUUCAAGGAACAUCUCCCUUACUUCAUUUUCCGGCGAGCUCAAACACCAAAACGAGCUCGCCACGAUCUCUGCCUCUGUUCCUCCUCCAGACCACCAACAACAACCGCCCUUAAACCCCUACGAAACAGCCCCUAAACCAGCUGAAACCAGCAAGCCAAACGGCCCCCACGCAACCUAUUUUCCCCUUUUUCAGAUUCGCCGACGAGCUCGAAGUUCUCUACCACCAGGCCCACCAGAUCUCCACCACACGCCUUCUCCACACCAGAAACCCCACGAGUACACCACCUCGAAAACCCCUCCCCCCCUCCCUUUUCUGUUUUCCCGGCAACCAAACAGCCAUCAAACUCCUGUGAAAACCCCACCUCUUUCUCGAUUUUCCUCACCACUAAACAACCACGAAAGAUCACCCAUUCUUUCCCCACCAACGAGCUAACAACAGCCCCAUUCCGGCAAAACAACAAGCUGCGGCGAAGCUACUAGACCAUAUCUCGUACAAACGAGCUCGGAGCUUUUGUCCCAACAACAUUGUCAUCUUCAAAUCUGCUUGUGAAAGUAACGACAUGGGAAAAUACUACACAAGAUGAGCCCAUUGAUAUUGUAAAUAUCGAUGAUCACGACCUUCCUAAUUUACGGCUCACCUUCAGCUAGUGAUAGUGAUGAUUUGCCUAAUGCUGAGGAAUCAGGAGAUAAUGUUCCAUUUGAGGCAUCACAGUGAUGAUUUUUUGACUCCCAAUUGAUCACCAAGACCAAUGUCCAUGAGUCUGUUUCGUAAUCGUGAAAUUUCUAUCUUGAUCAUAUCUCGGAUGGUCCAGAUAUCUUUGGUGAUACACAUGAUAAAUAUACAUCACAACGUACGUUCCAUGAACCAGAAGAUUUCAUGAAUGAUGCUAUUUAUAUUGAAAAAGUUACUCAAUUCAAAGAAGUAGUUGCAAAGAGCAGUUAAACUUCUACAUUUGAACAUAACAAGGGAGUGCUUUGUUAUUAAAUCAACAAAGAAAUCGUGGCGACUUGUUCGCAGGCGUGUAAAACAAGGAUGUCGAUUUAGGUUGACUUCUUUUAUUGAUAAACAUACUAACAUGUGGAAAGUUGGAAGACACGUUAAAGAACAUACAUGUGAUAUGGGUACGUGCUGCGAAAGGCAUUUCAACUUGGAUGUUGAGAUGAUUGCUGACGUCCUCCGUGUUGAUAUAGAAAGAACGCCAAGGUUUCCCAUCAAAGAUUGUCAAACAGUUGUUCUUAAAGCAUAUGACAUUGCAGUAAGUAAAAGAAAAGUCUAUCUUGAUCGUAAGCAGGCUUUUGAAAAAGUCUAUGAUAUUGGGUGUUUUCUUUUGCCGAGUUGCCGAGGUUCAUGGAAGCUUUGAAACACUUUAAUCCUGGAACAGUAGUCAAUUGCAUGUUGAUAGUCAAGACACAUAUUGGUGCAGAAAUAGUCAAACAAUAACAUCCACCAUGUGGGAAAAUUAUAAAAAAUUUGUUGAUAUUUUUUCAAAAAAAAAUAAUCAGAAAAUGUUUCAACUUAAAGCUAGACAAAAAGAUGAAUUUUUGUGUACUUUAUGACAUAGAUACUUUUAUUUUGUCUUAUAUUUUACGAUAUUCUGCCUCUUAAUUUA
Solanum lycopersicum (tomato) is the source of this 2920-nucleotide long non-coding RNA. RefSeq lists it as uncharacterized. The record is from RefSeq and is a predicted model, not a curated record. Lineage: Eukaryota; Viridiplantae; Streptophyta; Magnoliopsida; Solanales; Solanaceae.